AAGACUAUACUUUCAGGGAUCAUUUCUCUAGUUUGUUACUAGAGAAGUUUCUCUGAUCAUGUGGAGCACCCGAAACCACGAGGAGGUGCAGUGUUCUCUCCUGAGCAUGAAGCCAGCUUUUGGUGUUGUUUUUGCAACUGCCAAUAGCCCCUGAUGAUCGUUCUUCUCUUCCUUUGGAGGAGUAAGAGGAAGAGAAUACAGUCUGAGUGGU
Artibeus jamaicensis (Jamaican fruit-eating bat) is the source of this 211-nucleotide small nucleolar RNA. RefSeq annotates it as small nucleolar RNA U3. The transcript has a single exon. NCBI's taxonomy places the organism in Eukaryota, Metazoa, Chordata, Mammalia, Chiroptera, Phyllostomidae. The record is from RefSeq and is a predicted model, not a curated record.